AUGCACGCUGGCGGCGUGCCUCAUACCUGCCAGUCGCGCGAACAGACGAGGAGCUUGCUCCUCUGACGUUAGCGGCGGACGGGUGAGUAACACGUGGAUAACCUACCUAUAAGACUGGGAUAACUUCGGGAAACCGGAGCUAAUACCGGAUAAUAUAUUUAACCGCAUGGUUCAAUAGUGAAAGACGGUUUUGCUGUCACUUAUAGAUGGAUCCGCGCCGCAUUAGCUAGUUGGUAAGGUAACGGCUUACCAAGGCAACGAUGCGUAGCCGACCGGAGAGGGUGAUAGGCCACACUGGAACUGAGACACGGUCCAGACUCCUACGGGAGGCAGCAGUAGGGAAUCUUCCGCAAUGGGCGAAAGCCUGACGGAGCAACGCCGCGUGAGUGAUGAAGGUCUUCGGAUCGUAAAACUCUGUUAUUAGGGAAGAACAAAUGUGUAAGUAACUAUGCACGUCUUGACGGUACCUAAUCAGAAAGCCACGGCUAACUACGUG
Molecule: ribosomal RNA, 496 nt
Filed under: uncultured bacterium
Lineage: Bacteria
Description: partial 16S ribosomal RNA
Rfam family: Bacterial small subunit ribosomal RNA
Source: RNAcentral